Molecule: ribosomal RNA, 253 nt
Filed under: uncultured bacterium
Lineage: Bacteria
Description: partial 16S ribosomal RNA
Rfam family: Bacterial small subunit ribosomal RNA
Source: RNAcentral
UACGUAGGGACCAAGCGUUGUCCGGAAUCAUUGGGCGUAAAGAGCGUGUAGGCGGCUUGUUAAGUCUUGCGUGAAAUCUCGGGGCUCAACCCCGAGCGGUCGUGAGAAACUGGCAGGCUAGAGUGCGGGAGAGGAGAGUGGAAUUCCUGGUGUAGCGGUGAAAUGCGCAGAUAUCAGGAAGAACACCCGUGGCGAAGGCGGCUCUCUGGAACGCAACUGACGCUGAGACGCGAAAGCAUGGGGAGCAAACAGG